UACUCGAUGCUCAUUGGUACAUGCGGUCUUAUGCUAUGCAUAUGCAGUUAUGUCAAUUUGUGUGCGAUAGCCCUAAGGGCUAAUAUUUUUAAUAAUUAUAUUAUUGUAUUGUACAAAGAAAGAGAGAAUAUUUGUGAUUUAGCUAAAGAAUCUUAUAAAAUCAUUGUAAAAUAGGAAUAACAACUAUAUACAUAAAUAUAUAUAACUAUAUACAUAAAUAUUUAAAAAGUUCAAUUAUCCUUUGUUACUUGAAUUUUCAGUUCGCAACUUUUCAUUAAAAAAAGAACUUUCCAAUAAACAUUCGAAUUGUUCGUUGAGCUCUUGCUAAUUAUUUUGUAUACCUUUGCUUUCAAAUUUUUCUUUUAUUGGAAAAUAAAUUUUUGCGAUAUUAUUUUAGAUAUAUAAAAAAACAGGAGAAAAAGAGUGGAUAAAGAAAAAAGCCAUAUUUGUAAGUGUAAAUUUAAAAUAUUUUCCGUCGACUCACUGCUGUUUUUCAUUACAACAUCAACUAUUUUAUCAAAUAUCAUUUAUGUCUAAUAGUAACAUUUUUUCUGUGUGUUACCCAGACAGCACAAGAUCUCUUGAGGACGAAGAAAUGUCCUCAGGACUUCUUUAGGAUGUUCUCUGGAUGUCCCCUGGAUAUCUGUGCUAUUAGGGUUGUAUACUAUGUACGAAGAAUAACAAUAAACAAUAUCUGUCAAAAAAGAGAGCAUAAUUCCUUGUAAUCGAACAUAAAAAAUAUAGAGAAAAAACAAAAUAAAUAGUGACUCUUGACGCUUUCGAGGGGCAUCUUCCGGCAACGGACAAGUAAAGGCUGACACGAAAUAGCAGAGAUAGAGAGAGAGUGUAAUAAAGCAGACAGAGACAGAGAGAGGGGGGAGGGGAGAGAGAGAGAGAGUUCGGCUAUUUCGUUAGAUAGAGAAAAGGAACGAGAGAAACAGACAGUGGCAUAAAGCAAAUAAAAAAUGAACCGGCUAUUUGUAAGAGUGAUUAUAUAUUAUGACAAUUAUAUAUAUUUUAAUUUUUA
Odontomachus brunneus is the source of this 1027-nucleotide long non-coding RNA. RefSeq lists it as uncharacterized. The transcript has 2 exons. The record is from RefSeq and is a predicted model, not a curated record. Lineage: Eukaryota; Metazoa; Arthropoda; Insecta; Hymenoptera; Formicidae.